CUGGGCAAGGAUGAUUGGUAUGGGGCCCCACCUUCUUUUGUCCUCCUCCCUUGGUACUCGGUCCCUCAGGGAAAUACACCUGUUGCAGACCGGCAGCUGGUGGGGACGGUCUAACUUCUGCUUCUCACACCACCGCUUCUGUGCUGAGGAACUUCCCUGUGCAACCUGAGAGACUCUUUUGGGAGCCAUGAGGGAGGCCCACUGGAGGAGUGUCCCCUUGGUGUUCCUGAGCUGCUUAUGUUCCUGCCUCCUUUGGCCAGUGGCCUGGGGUACAGAAAAACCAGAGAAAACACUACUUCCUGAAACCUCCACAGGACAACAAACUCUG
Molecule: long non-coding RNA, 328 nt
Organism: Hipposideros armiger (great roundleaf bat)
Lineage: Eukaryota; Metazoa; Chordata; Mammalia; Chiroptera; Hipposideridae
Exons: 2
Source: RefSeq, a predicted model, not a curated record